GGUUUGGUAGUUCAGUUGGUUAGAAUGCCUGCCUGUCACGCAGGAGGUCGCGGGUUCGAGUCCCGUCCAGACCGCCU
Molecule: transfer RNA, 77 nt
Filed under: Enterococcus casseliflavus
Lineage: Bacteria; Bacillati; Bacillota; Bacilli; Lactobacillales; Enterococcaceae
Description: tRNA_Asp_GTC
Rfam family: tRNA
About the family: Transfer RNA (tRNA) molecules are approximately 80 nucleotides in length. Their secondary structure includes four short double-helical elements and three loops (D, anti-codon, and T loops).
Source: RNAcentral